CAACAAAUAUACCAUACAUCUUAUGAUUGCUCCAGCUGAAGACUGACCAGCCCAUCAUUACUCCACCUUUGGUGAAAUGAGACCCUGAUGGAUUACUGAAACAAUACACAAUUGGUACGUGUGAAUUUCAAUUUAUAUUUAACUAUUUUCAUUCAUACACUAUACUACUUGUAUAAACACACAUUGUGUCUCUUCCUCAGAAGGGAUGCAUACAACAGUGGUAUAUAAUUGUAAUUACUAUGAAUUCUAACUGUGUGAUUAUGUAACUGAUGUGUCAUGUCUUCUUCAAAACAUGUACCCACAUAUUUAUCCCAUGACACAACCAUCACAGGCGAUAUCAGCCACUGUCAACUCCAGCCAGAAACUAAUGCAUGCUAAGCAAAUGUGUUAUAACUAUAUGUUGAUUGCUUCUCAUUAUAUAAACAUGUAACUAAUAUAUUGUCUCUUCUUUACAGCCUGUUACCAACCACUCAACCCGCCACUACUCCAGGGAUCAGCCUAUGACAACUCCACCCAAAAAGGGAUGCAGCACACACUUCACAUGUACCAGAAAUUGUUAUUUUUUAAUUGUUUCUCAGCUUUUUUGUAAUAACAAGUCACAUUAUUUAAUUUCAUAAUACAUUUUGACAUUUAA
This is a non-coding RNA of Xyrichtys novacula (pearly razorfish), 634 nucleotides long. The record is from the annotation of a GenBank genome assembly. Lineage: Eukaryota; Metazoa; Chordata; Actinopteri; Labriformes; Labridae.